Oncorhynchus gorbuscha (pink salmon) is the source of this 2269-nucleotide long non-coding RNA. RefSeq lists it as uncharacterized. Lineage: Eukaryota; Metazoa; Chordata; Actinopteri; Salmoniformes; Salmonidae. The record is from RefSeq and is a predicted model, not a curated record. The transcript is spliced from 4 exons.
GCACUCCACAAGGAGACAGCCUGUUACGCGAAUGCAGUAAGCCAAGUGCUUUCCCCUCAGCCACCACAGCAUCCGUCUCCCUGUCGUCCCCAUGCACCCGAGACGCACACCAGGAAGGAAAGGGAAGUGGACACGUCGUUUGCAUAGCUGGUUCCUGUUGGCGGUGAGGGAGAGGUUGAGCAAUCCCCUGGGCCAUUGCGUAAGCUGGGCCCCCUUCACUUUCAGAUGGAGCAGAGCGGGACUGACUGCUAUCAUGCCGUAACGGGUUGCAAUCAGUGUGCAAUGAUGACCAACACUUAGGCAUCACCUCUCCACACACAUAGUCUGCUUGCGUGUUUCAAGCGGCACCACAGGAGUCAACAGCAAUGGAAAAUGCAGUUCUAUUCAUAGAUUGCAUGAGAGUUGCAGGAGGUGAGAGUGUAUGUUGGAUCAUGAGUUUUCAGUGCCAGGUGCUGAAGAGGAAAAGGAUUGACUGGAAACGUUAUGCUUUUUUUUGACUGGAAACGCAUAACAUAUUCAUGAACUAUGUGUAAUAUAUUCAUAAAUGCUACAUAGUGUAAAUGCAUAUAGUAGUUAUGCAUCCAUCAGUAGGGAUGUCACUGUCAUUGUCUGUUAACCUGUGGUUGUUGAAAUAACAUGACCUAAAAUGAGCAUUUAUUAAUGUUUAGUACCAACAGACACAAUAAAAUACAUUGACAUCUGUCAUCCAUAUAUUGACUCAAUUAAUUAUGGAGAUCUAGUUUGUAGACUCCCAAGUUUAACAGGUUUGAUUGGGCGCCAACCGUACAGUAACACCCACAGGAAAAAACAACAACACCCCUCCUCCCCCCAGAAAUUCACCCCCUGCGAAAGGGAAGUGCUUAUCUGGUGUUCACAGCCUCGUUGGGAACUCUUUGGUUUGGUUUGCACUAAAAACAAUUUAAAAAAGGAAGUGCUGAGAGGUAAAUCUUUUUCUGUGAAGGGAGUGUCUGAUAACAUUGGUAUUCCCCUACAUACACACACACACGCACGAGCAACACACACACGCACACACUCUCUCUCUGAGAGAGCUAAUUGUGGAAGGGCAAUGUCGUAGCAAGUUCUUCUUGCUGGAAAAAGUGACAGGCCCGGGAAAGGGGGGCGUAGGUACGCUACAAACGGCUGAGAAGUGGUCAGAAAGCAUUACUCAUUACCAGAAACAGAAAGUCAUAUUGGGCGAACAGAUAGCCCAGCAUUUUUCCCUCUCAAGGGCAUUUCCAUGUUUUUUUGCUGACCUUUAUGUCUUUACGUAGACAUAAUAUAUGAUAUUGGUGUACUUUUAGAGACAUUUGAAUCUACUCUUUUAAUACAGUCAUAAUAUCCUAUAAUUGCUAUAUGCAUCCAGAUGUAUUUCAAUACCAACGACAUGUAACUUUUGUUGCUCUUGUUUUGACUCCAAGCUUUUGUUGGCAUGGUUGUGUUCUGCUGUGGAUCUGGUUGUAAGAUGACUGUCUGCAAAUAUUUUUGUGUAUGUGAGUCUUUCUGUGAACUAGGGUGCCAGUGAUUUCCUACACUGGACAACUUGUUGCAUCUGUUGAUAUGUCAUUGAUAGUAAUCUGCCAUUUUCUUUAUGUCAUUAAACUAAGAUGUAAGGGGGAUCAUAGCUAUAUUCAAUCAAAUGUACAAGUUGAUGUAAAACCUGUGUUUAACACUUUAUCAUGGUUGGUGUCUUGACAGAUUUGUCUAAAAUCGUGUGGCAUAAACAAAUUCUGUCCAUGCAUUUAUGGCAAUGUAAGUUGUCGUUGUGUAAUAUAUUAAGCAUUAAUCAGUUAAAAUAGACAUUGAACUUGAACCCUAUAAGAAUCCUGUAUCUAGCUGUCGGACAGUUUUUGGUAUAGAGCUCAGUGUCACGCCCUGACCUGAGAUAUCUCUGUUUUCUUUAUAUUUUGGUUAGGUCAGGGUGUGACUAGGGUGGGUAUGCUAGUUUUGAAUUGUCUAGGAUUUUUGUAUUGUCUAGGUUUCUUUUUUAUGUCUAGGGUUUUCUAGGUCUAGGGGUUUUUGUAAUUCUAUGUUGGCCUGAUAUGGUUCCCAAUCAGAGACAGCUGUUUAUCGUUGUCUCUGAUUGGGGAUCAUAUUUAGGUAGCCAUUUCCCCUUGGUGUUUGUGGGAUCUUGUCUAUGUGUAGUUGCCUGUCAGCACUCGUUUGUAUAGCGUCAUGUUUCGGUUUGUUAGUUUGGUCAGUGUUCAUUCUUUUAAUAAAUAAGAAUGUACGCAUACCACGCUGCGCCUUGGUCCGAUCUUUAUAACGAACG